This 302-nucleotide long non-coding RNA is filed under the name Ricinus communis (castor bean). Its description in RNAcentral is "long non-coding RNA (RCOM_LNC001959)". Lineage: Eukaryota; Viridiplantae; Streptophyta; Magnoliopsida; Malpighiales; Euphorbiaceae. The record is from RNAcentral.
CCAGGACGAUCUUGCGAUCCUAAAGAAAAAGGAUAAUUUGGUUCAAUUUUGAGGGCUGGUUGAUCGACGCUAGCCAUGGGUUCGUUUCGGUUUAAGCACGGGUUGAUGAAGGUGGAUCUAGGUAUUCUUUCGAGUCGUUUCAUGUGUUUAGAUGCAACGUCGAUUUGAAAAUAAAGGCUCUGCGUGAAGAACCCAGUGAAAAAGAUGGACCUUUGGUUUUUUUUUUUUUGAGAAGAUGUGAAGUUUUGAUUUUGUUGCUGUUGUUUGUGGACAGGCUAUUUGCUUUGAUACCAUGAGAAAAU